AGCGAACGCUGGCGGCAGGCUUAACACAUGCAAGUCGAGCGGGCCCUUCGGGGUCAGCGGCGGACGGGUGAGUAACGCGUGGGAACGUGCCUUCUGGUCUGGAAUAACCCUGGGAAACUAGGGCUAAUACCGGAUACGCCCUUUUGGGGAAAGGUUUACUGCCGGAAGAUCGGCCCGCGUCUGAUUAGCUAGUUGGUGGGGUAACGGCCUACCAAGGCGACGAUCAGUAGCUGGUCUGAGAGGAUGAUCAGCCACACUGGGACUGAGACACGGCCCAGACUCCUACGGGAGGCAGCAGUGGGGAAUAUUGGACAAUGGGCGCAAGCCUGAUCCAGCCAUGCCGCGUGAGUGAUGAAGGCCUUAGGGUUGUAAAGCUCUUUUAUCCGGGACGAUAAUGACAGUACCGGAGGAAUAAGCCCCGGCUAACCUCGUGCCAGCAGCCGCCGUAA
RNAcentral lists this ribosomal RNA (449 nucleotides) under uncultured bacterium. RNAcentral describes it as "partial 16S ribosomal RNA". It matches the Rfam family "Bacterial small subunit ribosomal RNA", at positions 29 to 523 of the family's 1533-position model. The record is from RNAcentral.